AGUGGUUCGGGGAAAGUAAUGUAGUCAUGUUUUAUUUAUUUAUUUAUUUAUUUAUUUAUUUAUUUAUUUAUUUUUACUUUUUUUUAAAGUCCUAAUGUUCAAUGUGAAGAAAGCAAUUGCUUACCACAAACCUUGAUCCAACUACCCAGGAGUUUGACAUACUACAUGGCACCAGGUUCUGUGCUACACACUGGUGUAGUAAAAAUUGUGAUGCUCCACUCUUCUCAGGAUUGUCUAGCUGUAACAAGCUUAAAGAGGCCAACCAUCCACAAAGGAAACUUCCAGUUAGUACAAUAUCUCAGAAAGAAAACAAUGUCCCCCUGCUUGCUCACCAACAAAAGGAACGUGCAGAUCCAUGGAUUACCACGCACAGUUAGAUGCAGUCUGGCUGGAACAGACAGGAGAAGCCAGUUUGUAUCAGAGCAGUUAACUUGGCUUCCACUCCUGCCGCUCUCCGCAUCCCACGUCGGCUGUAUAUCACUCCAUUAACUACAGCAAUGGGUAUUUGCACUCAAUAAAUGUGUGUGGGUG
RNAcentral lists this long non-coding RNA (531 nucleotides) under Mus spicilegus (steppe mouse). RNAcentral's name for it is "lncRNA (ENSMSIG00000029716.1)". The record is from RNAcentral. Lineage: Eukaryota; Metazoa; Chordata; Mammalia; Rodentia; Muridae.